Pomacea canaliculata is the source of this 689-nucleotide long non-coding RNA. RefSeq lists it as uncharacterized. Lineage: Eukaryota; Metazoa; Mollusca; Gastropoda; Architaenioglossa; Ampullariidae. The record is from RefSeq and is a predicted model, not a curated record. The transcript has 3 exons.
AGCCUGAGCAGGUCGCCUAGCAACGACACUCUGCUGGUCUGCGACAUCAACUCGGAGGUCACGGCACCUACAGCCAGAUACCGACUAAGUUGAGGCGUUGACGGGCUGUGGAGGGAGGAACAGGAGGUGGAUUCAGGUCACCUGACAGCCAGUGUCACUCUGUCAGAUCUACCUAAUGGUGUCCAGGUGGCGUGCCGUGCGCGGUCUUACUUCACUGAUCAUAACAUCUUUAGUCCUUUCACUAUCAGCAAUGUUAUUUCCCUUCAGACUGCUGAUGUUGGCUAAAUCUGCUAACGAAGUGUCUCGUGCAAGAACGUGAGACCAUCAUGAAAGACAGUUUUUAGAUCGUUCACAAGGACUGAUAAAUGUCAGACUACCAUGAACUCAUUCAAGUAAAAUAAUUUAUACAGUUUGUGUCCAAAGAAUUUAGUGACAGCUUCCUUAGUUAGUUCUUAAGAGAAUCAUGCACUUUUACAAUAAAGUCGAAAAGCAUGUGCCGAAACUUUGCAUUCUCUUUGUUCUCUUGUGUCUGGGUGUCUUUAGAUGCGACGCUUGUCUUCAGGUAUUGUCUUCUACCUGUACUAUAAUUGAAUGUGUGCUUUCCGCUGUGCCUGCCAUUGGAUGUUUGGAUGUGUUCCUCUAGUUCCUUUCUACAUUCUUUGGUUUGUUCUUUGAUAUAUUGUGUAUGU